AGCAGGAUCAUUCUUGGAAGAAAUAUAUGUUUCAACUUAUUAUUUCUUUCGAUUUUUAAAAUUCUGCCGUGUGUGUGCGUGUUCUUCACGCCCACACAUGGCGGAAUCUGGGAAUCCUCCUAAGGCAGCGGCAGCGUAAAACCUGUUAGCUAGUCUACUUCUCGUCAGUCCUGUGUCUCGCUUCGGCUCAUUAGAGUAUCAGGCUGGCGGGCGGUUGGGCAACAUAGAGUGCGGGGGAUGCUGCUCUCCAACCGUUCGAAACAACGCUCAACGAUGGAUAUCUCGGCUUGGUGAUCGAUGAAGGACGCAGCAAAGUGCGACAAGUGUCACGACUUGCAGAUACCCGAGAGCUGACAAAUUUCUGAAUGCAAAUUGCAGCCAUGUUAACCUGGCUAUGUAUUGCAGAGAGUACUUCGCUUAUGCGCUCCAUCCAGUCAUGUUAUCAUCUCUGGGACAUGCGACUUCCCGUCGUGUCGUGCGUGCGUGUGCGUGCGUCCAACGCACUCACACCACACACAAUGCAAAAAAGACGAGGAGGUUGUCAAAGGAAGAAAACCAUGAGUUUUCCUGGCUUUUUUAUUAACCUGAGACGAUUAGAAAUCUCUUUUCUCCUCUCACCUCUCACCUCUGCAAUGCAGGAGAACCCGCUGAACUUAAGCAUAUCAUUGAGCGGAGGACAAGAAAACAACUGUGAUUCCCUGAGUAACUGCGAGUGAAUAGGGAACAGCCUAUGCUUGAAUCCGGUGUGGAUGGAAUCGGAAACACCGGAAUUGUAGUGCAAGGGUGUAGGGCGAGGUGUAGCAGUCGGAAGAAUCGCUCAGGAACGAGCAACCAAUGAGGGCUAUCGUCCCGUACCCUCCGACGCGCUGCGCUUCACAUGCUCUGCUCCCCAAGAGUCGGGCAGUUUGAGAAUGCUGUCCAAAACCGCAGGUGUACUCCUGCGAAGGCUAAAUAUUUCACCAAGACCGAUAGCGAACAAGUAGUGUGAACGAAAGAUGAAAAGUACUUUGAAAAGAGAGUGAAAAGUCCUUGACAUUGUUGGGCGCAAAGGGUAUGAGACCCAUUGUAUGCUUCUGCUUUUCAGCGUGAGCUGUCAACGCGAGUUUCCGGCUUCUGCAGGAUUUGAUCUGCUUCCUCGCUUCGGCGUGUAAGAGCCUUUUCCGUUGCUGAAAGUCGGAGACUUGGCAGAGUCUGUUAGCCGAGGGUGGCUGAUUUUGACCGUGUUUGUGCGGCCGAAGUGUCUUCUUUCGUGGGGGGCCUUCACUUCACAUGCAUUGUCACCAGCUGCUCUCGAGCUAUGGAAUCGUUGACCAUUUAAUGGUCUCUUACCACCCGUCUUGAAACACGGACCAAGGAGUCUACCGAAUGUGCGAGUGUUAUGGUGAUUGAAACCAAACGACGCACAAUGAAAGUGAAUCCUGUGAACCGCGGCGGAGAUCGUCGUUGGUGCAACAGGGCUCGGUCCUUAUCACUUGAAAGGGAUCUGAAGUUGAGCACAUUCGCUGGGACCCGAAAGAUAGCGAGCUUUUCCUGGGCCGAAGGAAGCCAGGGGAAACCUUGGUGGACGUUCGAAUGCAGUGCUGACGUGCAAAUCGCUUGUCAGAUCUGGGUAAAGGGGCGAAAGACUCAUCGAGCUAUCUAGUAGCUGGUUCCCUC
Molecule: unclassified non-coding RNA, 1656 nt
Filed under: uncultured fungus
Lineage: Eukaryota; Fungi
Description: sequence contains 18S rRNA gene, ITS1, 5.8S rRNA gene, ITS2, 28S rRNA gene
Rfam family: Eukaryotic large subunit ribosomal RNA (bases 622-1656)
Source: RNAcentral